This 253-nucleotide ribosomal RNA is filed under the name uncultured bacterium. RNAcentral describes it as "partial 16S ribosomal RNA". It matches the Rfam family "Bacterial small subunit ribosomal RNA", at positions 524 to 776 of the family's 1533-position model. The record is from RNAcentral.
UACGUAGGGUGCGAGCGUUGCCCGGAUUUAUUGGGCGUAAAGGGCGCGUAGGCGGCCUGGCGCGUCGGCUGUGAAAUCUCCCGGCUCAACUGGGAGGGGACGGCCGAUACGGCUGGGCUUGAGCGAGGUAGGGGAGAGUGGAAUUCCCGGUGUAGUGGUGGAAUGCGUAGAUAUCGGGAGGAACACCAGUGGCGAAGGCGGCAUCCUGGACCGGUAUUGACACUGAGGCGCGAAGGCGUGGGGAGCGAACAGG